Molecule: long non-coding RNA, 1702 nt
Organism: Aedes albopictus (Asian tiger mosquito)
Lineage: Eukaryota; Metazoa; Arthropoda; Insecta; Diptera; Culicidae
Exons: 2
Source: RefSeq, a predicted model, not a curated record
AAUUGCUUCUGGUCAUCCUUCAGAAAUUAUAUCAGCAAUUUCUUCAGGAAUUUCUCCAGGAAGUCGUCUAGGGAUUUCUUCAGAGAUUCUUCUAGAAAAUUCUCCAGGAAUACUUCCAGGAUAUUUUUUCAGGGUUUCCUCCAGACAUUCCUCCAGGGUAUUCUUCGGAGAUUCCUCCAGGGAUUCCUCUACGUAUAUCUCCAGGGAUAUUCCCAGAGAUUCCUCCAGAAAUUCCCCCCAGGGUUCUUGCAGGAAUUCUUGGAAUUUCUCAAGGGAUUUUUUCAGAAAUUUCUCCAACAAUUCCUCCCAAAAUUCCUCUGGAGAUUUCUUCAGGAAUUCUUCCAGGGAUUGCUCCAAGAAAUUUCUCCAGGAAUUUCGGCUGGGUCUUAUCCAAGUAUUCCUCCAGGAAUUACGCCCAGUAUUUGUUCAGAAGUUUUUCCCGGCAACCCUCCGGGAUUCUCGCUAGAGAUUUUCCCAGUAAUGGCUACAAGGAUUCCCCCAGGAAUAUCUUCUGGGAUUUCUCCAAGAAUUUGUAACGAUUUGUAUCAGAAAAAGAUGCUGGCAGCAAAACUCACAGCAUCAUCAGAAAAGAUGAGAUCGGGAGUUACGAGCGUUACGCUGUGGCUCUUCUAGCACGGACUAAAACCGACCAAAAAUUCGCGAACCGUUUGUUUGUUUUGCAAAUUUCCUUUUAAAAUGCAUCCUCAUCAGCUCAUCACCAAAAUUCGCAACUGAUACGCCUUAUCAGUUGCAACAAUAGGCGACAAUGACGCCACCCUCCAAUAGGAGGUUUCUUGCUAAACAAGAUAGAAGAUCAGACUUACUUAAAAUUUGGUCGUUGUGAAAGUUAGAAGGCUGACUACCAAACAGAAAAGUUUUUGACUGUGAAAUCCUAAGAUAGUAAAGUAGUGCUGUGAAGUAGCUGGAGCAAAUACAGGUAUUCCUUCAACGAAGGUGCAAGCGUGCGGGCAAAACUCCACGCCAUUUGCUGCCGAUAAUUUGGCACGUGGACGUAAAGGUACAAAGGAUUAGCGGGAAUCGAAUCCGGUUCCACGUCAGUCGGCAUCCGCCGGUACCCUCCAACGAGUGGCUGUCGACGCUGUCCAGCCAGGAGAAGGCCAUCAAGUUCCUCCAUCGCCAAACCACAAUCAACUUGCGGUAACUGGACCCGAAUCCGGUUCCACGUCAGUCGGCAUCCGCCGGUACCCUCCAACGAGUGGCUGUCGACGCUGUCCAGCCAGGAGAAGGCCAUCAAGUUCCUCCACCGCCAAACCACAAUCAACUUGCGGUAACUGGACCCGAAUCCGGUUCCACGUCGGUCAGCAUCCGCCGGUACCCUCCAACGAGUGGCUGUCGACGCUGUCCAGCCAGGAGAAGGCCACCAGGUUUUCCCACCGCUACGCUACGUCCCGCAGACUGCGAGUCCGUCGGGGAGUAACCGUCCACCCAUCGGCUAGAGCCGGUGAUCUACACCGAACGCCCGUCGACGCGGUCCAGUCGAGUUCGAGGCCCGCCGUUCGACGAACCGUAGUGAAGUAGCCUACAGUGUCAGCCAACAGUUAGGUGACCCAGGUCGCCAUCAAGGUUAGAGCUUUCUUUUUAUCAUUAAUCCUAACGUUUAUAAAAAGUGCGCGCACAGUUCAAACCAAGAAUACGAUAUAGCUAGGACCCUACAAUACAAACAUACUGUAAACAUCUCCCA